This 25127-nucleotide long non-coding RNA is filed under the name Xyrichtys novacula (pearly razorfish). The record is from RNAcentral. Lineage: Eukaryota; Metazoa; Chordata; Actinopteri; Labriformes; Labridae.
UUCGCGCUGGGGGCGGCGCGACACGGCUCAGGCCCGCCAGUGCCCCACCGGGGCCCUAAUUAUUAGGGCCCGAGCGUAGCUGCUAAGCAGCUGCGAGAGCCCUCUUGUUCCUGAUGGAUUCUUCUUUUGUUAUUAGGGCCCGAGCGUAGCUGCUAAGCAGCUGCGAGAGCCCUAUUAUUCCUGAUGGAUUCUUCUUUCUUCUUCUUCUUAUUAGGGCCCGAGCGUAGCUGCUAAGCAGCUGCGAGAGCCCUAUUAUUCCCCAAGUGGUUUUUCUUUGUUUCUUUUUUCUUUUUCCUCCCCUUUGAACUGGAAAAUGGCCCACUUCCCACUGGCGAAAACUCAGGAAAUUUGGCAGGACGACUGGGCCUGGUGAAAAAUUUGAUAUUCCGAAGUCGCCCAAACAAGAAAAUGCAAAAUGGCUCCAUAGCGCCCCCUAAGGUGAAAAUUCACACUAUUGAGUGUCACGCCUGUACGCUUUGUCAAAAUGACACAAAAAUUGACACACACAUGUAUCUCAAUAAGAUCUACAAAAAAGUCAGUGCGGGCGUAUCUGUCAAAUGUACGGUUAAAGGGUUAUUUCGCAUUUUUUGCCGAUCCGCACACAUUGGAAUUUCGCUAACUCCUCCGAAGGCUUUCGUUCCACCGGCACCACAUUUGCUCAGGCCAAUCUACACCCCAUGGCCAUUAAAAGUUAUUCAAAUCAUGACGCUGCACCCCACGGUUUAGGUUCUAGGGGGCGCCAAAGAUAACCCUAAAAUCCACAUAUUUAAAAGUCUUAUAACUUUUUAUUUUUGCCCUCACUGGCCUCCAAGUUUUCUAGGAUGAUGCAAUGUCCAGCCAUCAACACAUUUGUGAAGGAAUUUUUACUCCCCAAAAGAGCGCCCCCCCAUGGCAGGAGAAAAAAGUCCAUUUUUUCUUGUCCCCUAAGGUGAAAAUACACAUUGUUGAGUGUCACGCCUGUACGCUUUGUCAAAAUGACACAAAAAUUGACACACACAUGUAUCUCAAUAAGAUCUACAAAAAAGUCAGUGCGCGCGUAUCUGUCAAAUGUACGGUUAAAGGGUUAUUCCGCAAUUUUUUGCCGAUUCGCACACAUUGGAAUUUCGCUAACUCCUCCUAAGGCUUUCGUUCCACCGGCACCACAUUUGCUCAGGCCAAAUUACACCCCAUGGCCAUUAAAAGUUAUUCAAAUCAUGACGCUGCACCCCACGGUUUACGUUCUAGGGGGCGCCAAAGAUAACCCAAAAAUCCACAUUUUUAAAAGUCUUAUAACUUUUUAUUUUUGUCCUCACUGGCCUCCAAGUUUUCUAGGAUGAUGCAAUGUCCAGCCAUCAACACAUUUGUGAAGGAAUUUUUACUCCCUAAAAGAGUGCCCCCCCAUGGCAGGAGAAAAAAGUCCAUUUUUUCUUGUCCCCUAAGGUGAAAAUACACAUUGUUGACUGUCACGCCUGUACGCUUUGGCAAAAUGACACAAAAAUUGACAAUCAUGUGUAUCUCAAUUAGAUCUACGAAAAAGUCAAAGAGCGCGUAUCUGUAUAAUGUACGGUAAAAGGGCUAUUUUGCAUUUUUUGCCGAUUCGCACACAUUGGAAUUUCGCUAACUCCUCCUAAGGCUUUCGUCCCACUGACACCAAAUUUGCUCAGGCCAAUCUACACUCCAUGGCCAUUCAAAGUUGUAAAAAUCAUGACGCUGCACCCCACGGUUUACGUUUUAGGGGGCGCCAAAGAUGACCCAAAUAUACAUUACAGUAGACAAAGUAGUUUUGCCCACUGAGUGGCGCCAAAGGGACUUGUCUGUGGAGUCUGUGAGUCACUAUUGGCCGUUUUUGACUACUUUAGAUUUUACCUUUAUAUUUCCUCUUACAAAAUUUUUACCUUGCCUUGCCUGGUAUCAUUUUUUUCAGCACAACCUCACCUGUGUCAAUUUACAGUUAUUUUAUCAUUUUGACAUACUAUAUUUACACAUUGGACCCAAAUUCACACACAAAACAUAAAAUCCGAGUGGAAAAAAGUAACGUUUUUACUGUGAAAACCACAAAUAUGUGUGAUGAACUGUUUUUAAAACUUAAACUUCAAAUAAAAAUUGUAAACUUCAAAACAUAUGCAAAUUUUUAACAAAGAACAUAGUAAUUUACCUCUAUUGACAUCAAAAUGCAGGCAAUGGCCCAGGUGUUCUUUGUAAAAUUAUUUACAAAACACUGUAUAGUCUCACAAAUGUCACUUUUCAUUUAUGCCACUACAAAAAAACAUGAUGUAAAUGAUGCAUGAUGUAAAACAUGAUGUAAAAAACUUGUGUAGAUCCUCCUCUAUGUUAGUCCAUGUGUAAUUUUUCCAUAAUUCUUUGUUUUUUGCAGCAUUUUUGUUAGUGUAACUGCAGAUUGUGCUGACAGUGUCUAUGGCAAAAAAAAAAAAAAAAAACUGAAAAUGCCUCAACAUGAACCCCUGGUGGUCUCUGAGGGUGAAACCUGCUAACUGCUGCAGCUCUGUCAGCUUCAGUCUCCCAUGCAGAGCUCGGAGCGCAUGUGUGGCUCUGCACCCUUAGCAGCGUUGCUAACUCCUCAGUAAGGAAAGCCUGCUUCAUGUCAGAGUCUCUAAACUCCAGAAGAAGUCGAUAAAAGUCACUUUCUUUCUAAAAAAAAGGCGUUAGGGGGUCUGAAAAGUCAUUGAAUCUAACAACAAAGUCGCUAGGUUUGCAACUACGUGUCCCAGACUGCAUCCCUGCUGAGAGUCCCUCCCUCCCUUCUCAUAUUGCAGGAAGAACGUAAGUUCCCGCCCCUUGUCAAUCAGUCACCAUAUAAUUUUGGAUUGGUUGCUGUGGUGAAGUUUUCCACCAAUAGGAGAGAUGUUGUGGUGUGUUUUUUUUUUCCUUUGGCAAGCCUUUUCCGCCUGUAAGACCUGUCGCUAAUGUCUGCAUGCUAUGUUUUCCUGUCUCAUACAGCGCGAUCGAGCGCCGAACGUGAUCAAAAUAAGCAGAAAACAAGUAUCGCGGACAUAAUUUAUCAUAACUCUGGUUUUAUUUGGCCUAUCAACACAAUUUAAAAACUGGUAUAUAGGUUGAGGUCCUCACUUUUGAGAUAAAUUGAAACGGAGAGUCAACGAGGCUCCGUCUUGCAGCUACAUCCGGUUAAAUAUGUCAUGUGACUUGAACGCACACACACACACACACACACACACACACACAGACACACACACACACACACACACACACACACACUCAGAGUCUGGUUUUUAGCACCUGCAAAAACAUGCUAUUUACAUAUUUGACAAGAAUGCAGAGGCUCCUUUUGCCCCUGAAAAAAAUCAAAUUUCAAACACAACUUGACUGGUCAUUUCUCCAAAAGACAACCAUGAAGCUCCAUCCAAACCUGAAGCAGGCAGUUGGUGCAUGUGUACAGUAACCUGAGGGGAGUGAGGUGACUGCUUCUGAGGAGAACAUGAGCAGUGAAGAUUCACCUUAGAGCUAGAACAGAGACGUGCACAUGAUUAUACAGGGGCAGGGGCUCAAGUUUUUUCCAGUUGUUUAUACAAUAUGGAAAUUAAUGUGAAAUUAAAAAACAAAGUAUUAAUAGAAAGGUAAUGACUGUCCUGUGUAGGUGACAGUAAUAUCCAAUAGGCUAGGCACUCACGAGGCUGGCUGUGGCAAGUGUAAGUGAAAGCAACACGCACUGGCAGGAAGAACAGCAAACGCAGAUGAAGGAAAAGGGUCUUUGCAGUGAUGGGCGUUACCAGAGAGGGCGAUGGCCAGAGGACACAAAUGGGACGGGGAGGCAGCGCGUUGGGGGGGGGGGGCGCGACACAGCUCGGGCCCGCCAGUGCCCCAACGGGGUCCUAGUUAUUAUUUUUCUGCCCCUUUGAACUGGAAAAUGGCCCACUUCCCACUGGUGAAAAGUCAUGAAAUUUGGCAGGACGACCGGGCCUGGUGAAAAAUUCGAUAUUCUGAAGUCGCCCAAAAAAUCAAAUGCAAAAUGGCUCCAUAGCGCCCCCUAAGGUGAAAAAUUCACAUGAUUGAGUGUCACGCCUGUACGCUUUGUCAAAAUGACACAAAAUUUGACACACACGUGUAUCUCAAUAAGAUCUACAAAAAAGUCAGUGCGGGCGUAUCUGUCAAAUGUAUGGUUAAAGGUUUAUUUCGCAUUUUUUGCCGAUCCGCACACAUUGGAAUUUCGCUAACUCCUCCGAAGGUUUUCGUUCCACCGGCACCACAUUUGCUCAGGCCAAUCUACACCCCAUGGCCAAUAAAAGUUGUACAAAUCAUGACGCUGCACCCCACGGUUUACGUUCUAGGGGGCGCCAAAGAUAACCCAAAAAUCCACAGUCUUAAAAGUCUUAUAACUUUUUAUUUUUGUCCUCACUGGCCUCCAAGUUCUCUAGGAUGAUGCAAUGUCCAGCCAUCAACACAUUUGUGAAGGAAUUUUUACUCGCCAAAAGAGCGCCCCCCCAUGGCAGGAGAAAAAUGUCAAUUUUUUCUUGUCUCCUAAGGCGAAAAUACACAUCGUUGACUGUCACGCCUUUACGCUUUGUCAAAAUGACACAAAAUUUGACACACACAUGUAUCUCAAUAAGAUCUACAAAAAAGUCAGUGCGGGCGUAUCUGUCAAAUGUACGGUUAAAGGGUUAUUUCGCAUUUUUUGCCGAUCCGCACACAUUGGAAUUUCGCUAACUCCUCCGAAGGCUUUCGUUCCAACGGCACCACAUUUGCUCAGGCCAAUCUACACCCCAUGGCCAUUAAAAGUUGUACAAAUCAUGACGCUGCACCCCACGGUUUACGUUCUAGGGGGCGCCAAAGAUAACCCAAAAAUCCACAGUCUUAAAAGUCUUAUAACUUUUUAUUUUUGUCCUCACUGGCCUCCAAGUUCUCUAGGAUGAUGCAAUGUCCAGCGAUCAACACAUUUGUGAAGGAAUUUUUACUCGCCAAAAGAGCGCCCCCCAUGGCAGGAGAAAAAAGUCCAUUUUUUCUUGUCUCCUAAGGCGAAAAUACACAUUGUUGACUGUCACGCCUUUACGCUUUGUCAAAAUGACACAAAAUUUGACACACACAUGUAUCUCAAUAAGAUCUACGAAAAAGUCAAUGCGAGCGUAUCUGUUCAAUGUACGGUUAAAGGGCUAUUUCGCAUUUUUUGCCGAUUCGCACACAUUGGAAUGUGGCUAACUCCUCCUAAAGCUUUUGUCCCAUCGGCUUCAAAUUUGCUCAGGCCAAUCUACACCCCAUGGCCAUUAAAAGUUGUACAAAUCAUGACGCUGCACCCCACGGUUUACGUUCUAGGGGGUGCCAAAGAGGACCCAAAUAUCCACAUUUUUAAAAGUCUUAUAACUUUUUAUUUUUGUCCUCACUGGCCUCCAAGUUUUCUAGGAUGAUGCAAUGUCCAGCCAUCAACACAUUUGUGAAGGAAUUUUUUCUCCCCAAAAGAGCGCCCCCCCAUGGCAGGAGAAAAAGUCAAGUUUUUCCUGCCCAUCGCUCAAUGGCUCAAAAGCAUCGCUCUCUCGGCAAAACCGAAAGGAGGAGCAACUUGCCAUUUGGAUAUAUACUAGCUGUGUUUGUGCCCUCACUCAUGGUCCAGACUUUUUUCAAAAAGGACAUGGAGUUUGUCUGCAGCGAGCGUUUUGGUAGAAACUGCGCCUCCCAUUCAUUAUAAUGGUAAAUGACCACAGACAAGUGCGCACACCAUCUUUGGACCUUGAGUGUGACGCGAUCAAGAGGGGUAGGCGGUCGCGCUGGGGGCGGGCGCGACACGGCUCGGGCCCGCCAGUGCCCCAACGGGGCCCUAGUUAUUAUUAUUAUUUUUCCUCCGCUUUAAACUGGAAAAUGGCCCACUUCCCACUGGCGAAAACUCAGGAAAUUUGGCAGGACGACCGGGCCUGGUGAAAAAUUCGAUAUUCUGAAGUCGCCCAAACAAUAAAAUACAAAAUGGCUCCAUAGCGCCCCCUAAGGUGAAAAUUCACACUAUUGACUGUCACGCCUGUACGCUUUGUCAUAUUGACACAAAAAUUGACACACACAUGUAUCUCAAUAAGAUCUACAAAAAAGUCAGUGCGGGCGUAUCUGUCAAAUGUACGGUUAAAGGGGUUAUUUCGCAUUUUUUGCAGAUCCGCACACAUUGGAAUUUCGCUAACUCCUCCGAAGGCUUUCGGUCCACCGGCACCACAUUUGCUCAGGCCAAUCUACACUCCAUGGCCAUUCAAAGUUGUACAAAUCAUGAUGCUGCACCCCAUGGUUUAGGUUCUAGGGGGCGCCAAAAAUAACCCUAAAAUCCACAUUCUUAAAAGUUUUAUAACUUUUUAUUUUUGCCCUCACUGGCCUCCAAGUUUUCUAGGAUGAUGCAAUGUCCAGCCAUCAACACAUUUGUGAAGGAAUCUUUACUCCCCAAAAGAGCGCCCCCCCAUGGCAGGACAAAAAAGUCAAUUUUUUCUUGUCCCCUAAGGUGAAAAUACACAUUGUUGAAUGUCACGCCUGUACGCUUUGUCAUAUUGACACAAAAUUUGACAAUCACGUGUAUCUCAAUAAGAUCUACGAAAAAGUCAAUGCGCGCGUAUCUGUAAAAUGUACGGUUAAAGGGCUAUUUCGCAUUUUUUGCCGAUUCGCACACAUAGGAAUGUGGCUAACUCCUCCUAAGGCUUUCGUCCCACUGACACCAAAUUUGCUCAGGCCAAUCUACACCCCAUGGCCAUUCAAAGUUGUAAAAAUCAUGACGCUGCACCCCAUGGCUUACGUUCUAGGGGGCGCCAAAGAGGACCCAAAUAUCCACAUUUUUAAAAGUCUUAUAACUUUUUAUUUUUGUCCUCACUGGCCUCCAAGUUUUCUAGGAUGAUGCAAUGUCCAGCCAUCAACACAUUUGUGAAGGAAUUUUUCUCCCCAAAAGAGCGCCCCCCAUGUCAGGAGAAAAAGUCAAGUUUUUCCUGCCCAUCGCUCAAUGGCUCAAACGCAUCGCUUUCUCGGCAAAACCGAAAGGAGGAGCAACUUGCCAUUUGGAUAUAUACUAGCUGUGUUUGUGCCCUCACUCAUGGUCCAGACUUUUUUCAAAAAGGACAUGGAGUUUGUCUGCAGCGAGUGUUUUGGUAGAAACUGCGCCUCCCAUUCAUUAUAAUGGUAAAUGACCACAGACAAGUGCGCACACCAUCUUUGGACCUUGAGUGUGACGCGAUCGGGAGGGGUAGGCGGUCGCGCUGGGGGCGGCGUGACACGGCUCGGGCCCGCCAGUGCCCCACCGGGGCCCUAGUUCGUUAUUAUUUUUCCUCCGCUUUAAACUGGAAAAUGGCCCACUUCCCACUGGCGAAAACUCAGGAAAUUUGGCAGGACGACCGGGCCUGGUGAAAAAUUCGAUAUUCUGAAGUCGCCCAAACAAUAAAAUGCAAAAUGGCUCCAUAGCGCCCCCUAAGGUGAAAAUUCACAUGACGGCUGUACGCUUUGUCAUAUUGACACAAAAAUUGACACACACAUGUAUCUCAAUAAGAUCUAUAAAAAAGUCAGUACGGGCGUAUCUGUCAAAUGUACGGUUAAUGGGUUAUUUUGCAUUUUUUGCAGAUCUGCACACAUUGGAAUUUCGCUAACUCCUCCGAAGGCUUUCCGUUCGACCGGCACCACAUUUGCGCAGGCCAAUCUACCUCCCAUGGCCAUUAAAAGUUGUACAAAUCAUGACGAUGCACCCCACGGUUUACGUUCUAGGGGGCGCCAAAGAUAACCCAAAAUCCACAUUCUUAAAAGUCUUAUAACUUUUUAUUUUUGUCCUCACUGCCCUCCAAGUUUUCUAGGAUGAUGCAAUGUCCAGCCAUCAACACAUUUGUGAAGGAAUUUUUACUCCCCAAAAGAGCGCCCCCCCAUGGCAGGAGAAAAAAGUCAAUUUUUUCUUGUCCCCUUACAUGAAAAUACACAUUGUUGAGUGUCAUGCCUGAACGCUUUGUCAUAUUGACACAAAAAUUGACAAUCACGUGUAUCUCAAUUAGAUCUACGAAAAAGUCAAAAAGCGCGUAUCUGUAUAAUGUACGGUUAAAGGGCUAUUUCGCAUUUUUUGCCGAUUCGCACACAUUGGAAUGUGGCUAUCUCCUCCUAAGGCUUUCGUCCCACCGAUACCAAAUUUGCUCAGGGCAAUCUACACCCCAUGCCCAUUCAAAGUUGUAAAAAUCAUGACGCUGCACCCCACGGUUUACGUUCUAGGGGGCACCAAAGAUGACCCAAAAAUCCACAUUCUUAAAAGUCAUUUUGGCCACUGCAGGAGUACAGAGUACUGCAGUUCUAGGGGGCGCCAAAGAUGACCCAAAAAUCCACAUUCUUAAAAGUCUUUUUGGCCACUGCAGGAGUACAGAGUACUGCAGGAUACACACACAUACACACACACACACACACACACACACACACACACACACACACACACACACACUCAGAGUCUGUUUUUUAGCACCUGCAAAAACAUGCUGUUUACAUAUUUGACAAGAAUGCAGAGGCUUCCUUUUGCCCCUGAAAAAAAUCAGAUUUCAAACACAACUUGACUGUUCAUUUCUCCAAAAGACAACCAUGAAGCUCUAUCCAAACCUGAAGCAGAUAGUUGGUGCAUGUGUACAGUAACCUGAGGGGAGUGAGGUGACUAUUUCUGAGGAGAACAUGAGCAGUGAAGAUUCACCUUGGAGCUAGAACAGGGACGUGCACAUGAUAAUACAGGGGCAGGGGCUCAAGUUUUUUCCAGUCAUUUAUACAAUAUGGAAAUUAAUGUGAAAUUAAAACACAAAUAUGUGUGAUGAACUGUUUUUAAAACUUAAACUUCAAAUAAAAAUUGUAAACUUCAAAACAUAUGCAAAUUUUUAACAAAGAACAUAGUAAUUUACCUCUAUUUACAUCAAAAUGCAGGCAAUGGCCCAGGCGUUCUUUGUAAAAUUAUUUACAAAACACUGUAUAGUCUCACAAAUGUCACUUUUUAUUUAUGCCACUACAAAAAAACAUGAUGUAAAUGAUGCAUGAUGUAAAACAUGAUGUAAAAAACUUGUGUAGAUCCUCCUCUAUGUCAGUCCAUGUGUAAUUUUUCCAUAAUUCUUUGUUUUUUGCAGCAUUUUUGUUAGUGUAACUGCAGAUUGUGCUGACAGUCUAUGGCAAAAAAAACAAAAACUGAAAAUGCCUCAACAUGAACCCCUGGUGGUCUCUGAGGGUGAAACCUGCUAACUGCUGCAGCUCUGUCAGCUUCAGUCUCCCAUGCAGAGCUCGGAGCGCAUGUGUGGCUCUGCACCCUUAGCAGCGUUGCUAACUCCUCAGUAAGGAAAGCCUGCUUCAUGUCAGAGUCUCUAAACUCCAGAAGAAGUCGAUAAAAGUCCCUUUCUUUCUAAAAAAAGUCGUUAGGGGGUCUGAAAAGUAAUUGAAUCUAACAACAAAGUCGCUAGGUUUGCAACUACGUGUCCCAGACUGCAUCCCUGCUGAGAGUCCCUCCCUCCCUUCUCAUGUUGCAGGAAGAACGUAAGCGCCCGCCCCUUGUCAAUCAGUCACCAUAUAAUUUUGGAUUGGUUGUUGUGGUGAAGUUUUCCACCAAUAGGAGAGAUGUUGUGGUGUGUUUUUUUUUUCUUUUGGCAAGCCUUUUCCGCCUGUAAGACCUGUCGCUAAUGUGUGCAUGCUAUGUUUUCCUGUCUCAUACAGCGUGAUCGAGCGCCGAACGUGAUCAAAAUAAGCAGAAAAAAAGUAUCGCGGACAUAAUUUAUCAUAACUCUGGUUUUAUUUGGCCUAUCAACACAAUUUAAAAACUGGUAUAUAGGUUGAGGUCCUCACUUUUGAGAUAAGUUGAAACGGAGAGUUAACGAGGCUCCGUCUUGCAGCUACAUCCGGUUAAAUAUGUCAUGUGACUUGAACGCACACAUAGACACACACACACACACACACACACACACACACACACACACACACACACACACACACACACUCAGAGUCUGGUUUUUAGCACCUGCAAAAACAUGCUAUUUACAUAUUUGACAAGAAUGCAGAGGCUCCUUUUGCCCCUGAAAAAAAUCAAAUUUCAAACACAACUUGACUGGUCAUUUCUCCAAAAGACAACCAUGAAGCUCCAUCCAAACCUGAAGCAGGCAGUUGGUGCAUGUGUACAGUAACCUGAGGGGAGUGAGGUGAGUGCUUCUGAGGAGAACAUGAGCAGUGAAGAUUCACCUUGGAGCUAGAACAGAGACAUGCACAUGAUUAUACAGGGGCAGGGGCUCAAGUUUUUUCCAGUCGUUUAUACAAUAUGGAAAUUAAUGUGAAAUUAAAACACAAAGUAUUAAUAGAAAGGUAAUGACUGUCCUGUGUAGGUGACAGUGAUAUCCAAUAGGCUAGGCACUCACGAGGCUGGCUGUGGCAAGUGUAAGUGAAAGCAACACGCACUGGCAGGAAGAACAGCAAACGCCGAUGAAGGAAAAGGGUCUUUGCAGUGAUGGGCGUUAACAGAGAGGGCGAUGGCCAGAGGACACAAAUGGGACGGGGAGGCAGCACGUUGGGGGGGGGGGGGGGGGAUGCGACACGGCUCGGGCCCGCCAGUGCCCCAACGGGGUCCUAGUUAUUUUUCCUCCGCUUUAAACUGGAAAAUGGCCCACUUCCCACUGGCGAAAACUCAUGAAAUUUGGCAGGACGACCGGGCCUGGUGAAAAAUUCGAUAUUCUGAAGUCGCCCAAACAAGAAAAUGCAAAAUGGCUCAAUAGCGCCCCCAAAGGUGAAAAUUCACACUAUUGACUGUCACGCCUGUACGCUUUGUCAUAUUGACACAAAAAUUGACACACACAUGUAUCUCAAUAAGAUCUACAAAAAAGUCAGUGCGGGCGUAUCUGUCAAAUGUACGGUUAAAGGGUUAUUUCGCAUUUUUUGCCGUUCCGCACACAUUGGAAUUUCGCUAACUCCUCCGAAGGCUUUCGUUCCACCAGCACUACAUUUGCUCAGGCCAAUCUACACCCCAUGGCCAUUGAAAGUUGUACAAAUCAUGACGCUGCACCCCACGGUUUACGUUCUAGGGGGCGCCAAAGAUAACCCACAAAUCCACAUUCUUAAAAAUCUUAUAACUUUUUAUUUUUGUCCUCAUUGGCCUCCAAGUUUUCUAGGAUGAUGCAAUGUCCAGCCAUCAACACAUUUGUGAAGGAAUUUUUACUCCCCAAAACAGCGCCCCCCCAUGGCAGGACAAAAAAGGCCAUUUUUUCUUGUCCCCUAAGGUGAAAAUACACAUUGUUCAGUGUCAUGCCUAUACGCUUUGUCAUAUUGACACAAAAUUUGACACACACGUGUAUCUCAAUAAGAUCUACGAAAAAGUCAAUGGGCACAUAUCUGUAAAAUGUACGGUUAAAGGGCUAUUUUGCAUUUUUUGCCGAUUCGCACACAUUGGAAUGUGGCUAACUCCUCCUAAGGCUUUCGUUCUACUGACACCAAAUUUGCUCAAGCCAAUCUACACCCCAUGGCCAUUCAAAGUUGUACAAAUCAUGACGCUGCACCCCACGGUUUAGGUUCUUGGGGGCGCCAAAGAUGACCCAAAUAUCCACAUUUUUAAAAGUCUUAUAACUUUUUAUUUUUGUCCUCACUGGCCUCCAAGUUUUCUAGGAUGAUGCAAUGUGCAGCCAUCAACACAUCUGUGAAGGAAUUUUUUCUCCCCAAAAGAGCCCCCCCCCAUGGCAGGAGAAAAAGUCAAGUUUUUCCAGCCCAUCGCUUAAUGGCUCAAACGCAUUGCUCUCCCGCUAAAACCAAAAGGAGGAGCAACUUGCCAUUUGGAUAUGUCCUAGCUGUGUUUGUGCCCUCACUCAUGGUCCAGACUUUUUUCAAAUAGGACAUGUAGUUUGUCUGCAGCGAGCGUUUUGGUAGAAACUGUGCCUCCCAUUCAUUAUAAUGGGAAAUGACCAAAGACAGGUGCGCACACCAUCUUUGGACCUUGACUUUGACGUCACAGUUUGAGAUACAAAUGUUAUUUGACCUCUGACCUUUGGUGGACACCCUAACCUUUCAACCCGCGAAAACGGCGUUUCAAUAGCUCUUACGGCUUUCCUACAAAUACACUUUGUUCAGCUACUCCUACUGUCCUUUAAGCUCUGCUUCUCAGAUCAUCAAGAGUGUGCACGUGUGUAAUGAGCGCAUAUUGAAUGUUAAUUAUGUUAAAUAUGUUAAUUAUUAGAAGAAAAAACAACAACAGUCCUUUUGGACAAAAUUUCUUUUUAUUACAGAAUUAGAAUAAUGGAAGCAUAGUCCAAGGAAACCAUUCAAGUGAUGUCAUACCUCAUAAUUUAUUGAGAUGUUGGCUAGUCUGGGCAUUUCUUCAUUCAUCAGGUUUCCUGCAUGCAUACUAACAGAGCACAUCAGUAGCAGUGAGUGAUAAGUAUGAGUGUGUCAUUGUGUAAGAAAGAAAGUGGUUUACUUACACAUCCAUAGAAAAUAGGUGGUUGAGCACAGCACGCAAACAAAGCUUUGCCACAACGGUUGAACUUCCCAAGUAGCUGAUACCAAGGUCACACAAUCAUGGUGAGCAAAGGUCAAACCAGGCCAGGCACUCACGAGGCUGGCUGUGGAAAGUGUAAGUGAAAGCAACACGCAAUGGCAGGAAGAACAGCAAACACCGAUGAAGGAAAAGGGUCUUUGCAGUGAUGGGCGUCACCAGAGAGGGCGAUGGCCAGAGGGCACGAAUGGGACGGGGAGGCGGUCGCGCUGGGGGCGGUGCGACGCGGCUCGGGCCCGCCAGUGCCCCAACGGGGCCCUAGUUAGGGCCCGAGCGUAGCUGCUAAGCAGCUGCGAGAGCCCUAUUAUUCCCCAAGUGGUUUUUCUUUAGGGCCCGAGCGUAGCUGCUAAGCAGCUGCGAGAGCCCUCUUGUUCCUGCAUGUUUCCUUCUUUUGUUAUUAUUAGGGCCCGAGCGUAGCUGCUAAGCAGCUGCGAGAGCCCUCUUGUUCCUGCAUGUUUCCUUCUUUUGUUAUUAUUAGGGCCCGAGCCAGCUGCAGAGCAGCCGGGCGUAGGCCCUGUUAUUCCUGUAGGGGUUUUUCUUUGUUUCUUUCUUUCUUCUUUUUCCUCCCCUUUGAACUGGAAAAUGGCCCACUUCCCACUGGCGAAAACUUAGGAAAUUUGGCAGGACGACCGGGCCUGGUGAAAAAUUUGAUAUUCCAAAGUCGCCCAAACAAGAAAAUGAAAAAUGGCUCCAUAGCGCCCCCUAAGGUGAAAAUUCACACUAUUGACUGUCACGCCUGUACGCUUUGUCAAAAUGACACAAAAAUUGUCACACACAUGUAUCUCAAUAAGAUCUACAAAAAAGUCAGUGCGGGUGUAUCUGUCAAAUGUACGGUUAAAGGGUUAUUGCGCAUUUUUUGCCGAUCCGCACACAUUGGAAUUUCGCUAACUCCUCCGAAGGCUUUCGUUCCACCGGCACCACAUUUGCUCAGGCCAAUCUACACCCCAUGGCCAUUAAAAGUUAUUCAAAUCAUGACGCUGCACCCCACGGUUUAGGUUCUAGGGGGCGCCAAAGAUAACCCUAAAAUCCACAUAUUUCAAAGUCUUAUAACUUUUUAUUUUUGCCCUCACUGGCCUCCAAGUUUUCUAGGAUGAUGCAAUGUCCAGCCAUCAACACAUUUGUGAAGGAAUUUUUACUCCCCAAAAGAGCGCCCCCCCAUGGCAGGAGAAAAAAGUCCAUUUUUUCUUGUCCCAUAAGGUGAAAAUACACAUUGUUUAGUGUCACGCCUGUACGCUUUGGCAAAAUGACACAAAAAUUGACACACACAUGUAUCUCAAUAAGAUCUACGAAAAAGUCAAUGCGCGCGUAUCUGUCAAAUGUACGGUUAAAGGGUUAUUGCGCAUUUUUUGCCGAUUCGCACACAUUGGAAUUUCGCUAACUCCUCCUAAGGCUUUCGUUCCACCGGCACCACAUUUGCUCAGGCCAAUCUACACCCCAUGGCCAUUAAAAGUUGUAAAAAUCAUGACGCUGCACCCCACGGUUUACGUUUUAGGGUGCGCCAAAGAUGACCCAAAUAUACAUUACAGUAGACAAAGUAGUUUUGCCCACUGAGUGGCGCGAAAGGGACUUGUCUGUGGAGUCUGUGAGUCACUAUUGGCCGUUUUUGACUACUUUAGAUUUUACCUUUAUAUUUCCUCUUACAAAAUUUUUACCUUACCUUGCCUGGUAUCAUUUUUUUCAGCACAACCUCACCUGUGUCAAUUUACAGUUAUUUUAUCAUUUUGACAUACUAUAUUUGGACCCAAAUUCACACACAAAACAUAAAAUCCGAGUGGAAAAAAGUAACGUUUUUACUGUGAAAACCACAAAUAUGUGUGAUGAACUGUUUUUAAAACUUAAACUUCAAAUAAAAAUUGUAAACUUCAAAACAUAUGCAAAUUUUUAACAAAGAACAUAGUAAUUUACCUCUAUUGACAUCAAAAUGCAGGCAAUGGCCCAGGUGUUCUUUGUAAAAUUAUUUACAAAACACUGUAUAGUCUCACAAAUGUCACUUUUUAUUUAUGCCACUACAAAAAAACAUGAUGUAAAUGAUGCAUGAUGUAAAACAUGAUGUAAAAAACUUGUGUAGAUCCUCCUCUAUGUUAGUCCAUGUGUAAUUUUUCCAUAAUUCUUUGUUUUUUGCAGCAUUUUUGUUAGUGUAACUGCAGAUUGUGCUGACAGUGUCUAUGGCAAAAAAAAAAAAAAAACUGAAAAUGCCUCAACAUGAACCCCUGGUGGUCUCUGAGGGUGAAACCUGCUAACUGCUACAGCUCUGUCAGCUUCAGUCUCCCAUGCAGAGCUCGGAGCGCAUGUGUGGCUCUGCACCCUUAGGAGCGUUGCUAACUCCUCAGUAAGGAAAGCCUGCUUCAUGUCAGAGUCUCUAAACUCCAGAAGAAGUCGAUAAAAGUCACUUUCUUUCUAAAAAAAAGUCGUUAGGGGGUCUGAAAAGUCAUUGAAUCUAACAACAAAGUCGCUAGGUUUGCAACUACGUGUCCCAGACUGCAUCCCUGCUGAGAGUCCCUCCCUCCCUUCUCAUAUUGCAGGAAGAACGUAAGCGCCCGCCCCUUGUUAGGGCCCGAGCGUAGCUGCUAAGCAGCUGCGAGAGCCCUCUUGUUCCUGCAUGUUUCCUUCUUUCGUUAUUAGGGCCCGAGCGUAGCUGCUAAGCAGCUGCGAGAGCCCUAUUAUUCCCCAAGUGGUUUUUCUUUGUUUCUUAGGGCCCGAGCGUAGCUGCUAAGCAGCUGCGAGAGCCCUAUUAUUCCCCAAGUGGUUUUUUCUUUGUUUCUUUUUAGGGCCCGAGCGUAGCUGCUAAGCAGCUGCGAGAGCCCUAUUAUUCCCCAAGUGGUUUUUCUUUGUUUCUUUCUUUAGGGCCCGAGCGUAGCUGCUAAGCAGCUGCGAGAGCCCUCUUGUUCCUGUAGUUUCCUUCUUUUGUUAUUAGGGCCCGAGCCAGCUGCAGAGCAGCCGGGCGUAGGCCCUAUUAUUCCCCAAGUGGUUUUUUAGGGCCCGAGCGUAGCUGCUAAGCAGCUGCGAGAGCCCUCUUGUUCCUGAUGGAUUCUUCUUUUGUUAUUAUUAGGGCCCGAGCGUAGCUGCUAAGCAGCUGCGAGAGCCCUCUUGUUCCUGAUGGAUUCUUCUUUCGUUAUUUUUCCUCCGCUUUAAACUGGAAAAUGGCCCACUUCCCACUGGCGAAAACUCAGGAAAUUUGGCAGGACGACCGGGCCUGGUGAAAAAUUUGAUAUUCUGAAGUCGUCCAAACAAAAAAAUGAAAAAUGGCUCCAUAGCGCCCCCUAUGGUGAAAACUCACCUGAUGCCUGUACGCUUUGUCAAAAUGACAGAAAAUUUGACACACAUGUGUAUCUCAAUAAGAUCUACGAAAAAGUCAGUGCGGGCGUAUCUGUCAAAUGUAUGGUUAAAGGGCUAUUUCGCUUUUUUUGCCGAUCCGCACACAUUGGAAUUUCGCUAACUCCUCCGAAGGCUUUCGUUCCACCGGCACCACAUUUGCUCAGGCCAAUUUACACCCCAUGGCCAUUAAAAGUUGUACAAAUCAUGACGCUGCACCCCACGGUUUAGGUUCUAGGCGGCGCCAAAGAUAACCCAAAAAUCCACAUUCUUAAAAGUCUUAUAACUUUUUAUUUUUGUCCUCACUGGCCUCCAAGGUUUCUAGGAUGAUGCAAUGUCCAGCCAUCAACACAUUUGUGAAGGAAUUUUUACUCCCCAAAAGAGCGCCCCCCCAUGGCAGGAGAAAAAAGUCCAUUUUUUCUUGUCUCCUAAGGUAAAAAUACACAUUGUUGAGUGUCACGCCUAUACACUUUGUCAUAUUGACACACAAUUUGACAAUCACGUGUAUCUCAAUAAGAUCUACAAAAAAGUCAAUGGGCACGUAUCUGUCAAAUGUACGGUUAAAGGGCUAUUUCGCAUUUUUUGCCGAUUCGCACACAUUGGAAUGUGGCUAUCUCCUCCUAAGGCUUUCGUCCCACCGAUACCAAAUUUGCUCAGGGCAAUCUACACCCCAUGCCCAUUCAAAGUUGUAAAAAUCAUGCCGCUGCACCCCACGGUUUACGUUCUAGGGGGCGCCAAAGAUGACCCAAAAAUCCACAUUCUUAAAAGUCAUUUUGGCCACUGCAGGAGUACAGAGUACUGCAGUUCUAGGGGGCGCCAAAGAUGACCCAAAAAUCCACAUUCUUAAAAGUCUUUUUGGUCACUGCAGGAGUACAGAGUACUGCAGGAUUCACACACACACACACACACACACACACACACACACACUCAGAGUCUGUUUUUUAGCACCUGCAAAAACAUGCUGUUUACAUAUUUGACAAGAAUGCAGAGGCUCCUUUUGCCCCUGAAAAAAAUCAGAUUUCAAACACAACUUGACUGGUCAUUUCUCCAAAAGACAACCAUGAAGCUCCAUCCAAACCUGAAGCAGAUAGUUGGUGCAUGUGUACAGUAACCUGAGGGGAGUGAGGUGACUGCUUCUGAGGAGAACAUGAGCAGUGAAGAUUCACCUUGGAGCGAGAACAGGGACGUGCACAUGAUUAUACAGGGGCAGGGGCUCAAGUUUUUUCCAGUCGUUUAUACAAUAUGGAAAUUAAUGUGAAAUUAAAAAACAAAGUAUUAAUAGAAAGGUAAUGACUGUCCUGUGUAGGUGACAGUGAUAUCCAAUAGGCUAGGCACUCACGAGGCUGGCUGUGGCAAGUGUAAGUGAAAGCAACACGCACUGGCAGGAAGAACAGCAAACCCCGAUGAAGGAAAAGGGUCUUUGCAGUGAUGGGCGUCACCAGAGAGGACGAUGGCCAGAGGACGCGAAUGGGACGGGGAGGCAGCGCGUUGGGGGGGGGCGCGACACAGCUCGGGCCCGCCAGUGCCCCAACGGGGCCCUAGUCUUUAGGGCCCGAGCGUAGCUGCUAAGCAGCUGCGAGAGCCCUGUUGUUCCUGAUGAGUUUUUCUUUCUUCUUUAGGGCCCGAGCGUAGCUGCUAAGCAGCUGCGAGAGCCCUCAUGUUCCUGCAUGUUUCCUUCUUUCGUUAUUAUUUUUCCUCCGCUUUAAACUGGAAAAUGGCCCACUUCCCACUGGCGAAAACUCAGGAAAUUUGGCAGGACGACCGGGCCUGGUGAAAAAUUCGAUAUUCUGAAGUCGCCCAAACAAUAAAAUGCAAAAUGGCUCCAUAGCGCCCCCUAAGGUGAAAAUUCACAUGACGGCUGUACGCUUUGUCAUAUUGACACAAAAAUUGACACACACAUGUAUCUCAAUAAGAUCUACAAAAAAGUCAGUGCGGGCGUAUCUGUCAAAUGUACGGUUAAUGGGUUAUUUUGCAUUUUUUGCAGAUCUGCACACAUUGGAAUUUCGCUAACUCCUCCGAAGGCUUUCGUUCGACCGGCACCACAUUUGCGCAGGCCAAUCUACCCCCCAUGGCCAUUAAAAGUUGUACAAAUCAUGACGCUGCACCCCACGGUUUACGUUCUAGGGGGCGCCAAAGAUAAUCCAAAAUCCACAUUCUUAAAAGUCUUAUAACUUUUUAUUUUUGUCCUCACUGGCCUCCAAGUUUUCUAGGAUGAUGCAAUGUCCAGCCAUCAACACAUUUGUGAAGGAAUUUUUACUCCCCAAAAGAGCGCCCCCCCAUGGCAGGAGAAAAAAGUCCAUUUUUUCUUGUCCCCUUACAUGAAAAUACACAUUGUUGAGUGUCACGCCUGAACGCUUUGUCAUAUUGACACAAAAAUUGACAAUCAUGUGUAUCUCAAUUAGAUCUACGAAAAAGUCAAAAAGCGCGUAUCUGUAUAAUGUACGGUUAAAGGGCUAUUUCACAUUUUUUGCCGAUUUGCACACAUUGGAAUGUGGCUAUCUCCUCCUAAGGCUUUCGUCCCACCGAUACCAAAUUUGCUCAGGGCAAUCUACACCCCAUGCCCAUUCAAAGUUGUAAAAAUCAUGACGCUGCACCCCACGGUUUACGUUCUAGGGGGCGCCAAAGAUGACCCAAAAAUCCACAUUCUUAAAAGUCAUUUUGGCCACUGCAGGAGUACAGAGUACUGCAGUUCUAGGGGGCGCCAAAGAUGACCCAAAAAUCCACAUUCUUAAAAGUCUUUUUGGCCACUGCAGGAGUACAGAGUACUGCAGGAUACACACACAUAUACACAUACACACACACACACACACACACUCAGAGUCUGUUUUUUAGCACCUGCAAAAACAUGCUGUUUACAUAUUUGACAAGAAUGCAGAGGCUUCCUUUUGCCCCUGAAAAAAAUCAGAUUUCAAACACAACUUGACUGUUCAUUUCUCCAAAAGACAACCAUGAAGCUCCAUCCAAACCUGAAGCAGAUAGUUGGUGCAUGUGUACAGUAACCUGAGGGGAGUGAGGUGACUAUUUCUGAGGAGAACAUGAGCAGUGAAGAUUCACCUUGGAGCUAGAACAGGGACGUGCACAUGAUUAUACAGGGGCAGGGGCUCAAGUUUUUUCCAGUCAUUUAUACAAUAUGGAAAUUAAUGUGAAAUUAAACCACAGAUAUGUGUGAUGAACUGUUUUUAAAACUUAAACUUCAAAUAAAAAUUGUAAACUUCAAAACAUAUGCAAAUUUUUAACAAAGAACAUAGUAAUUUACCUCUAUUUACAUCAAAAUGCAGGCAAUGUCCCAGGCGUUCUUUGUAAAAUUAUUUACAAAACACUGUAUAGUCUCACAAAUGUCACUUUUCAUUUAUGCCACUACAAAAAAACAUGAUGUAAAUGAUGCAUGAUGUAAAACAUGAUGUAAAAAACUUGUGUAGAUCCUCCUCUAUGUCAGUCCAUGUGUAAUUUUUCCAUAAUUCUUUGUUUUUUGCAGCAUUUUUGUUAGUGUAACUGCAGAUUGUGCUGACAGUGUCUAUGGCAAAAAAAAAAAAAAAAAACUGAAAAUGCCUCAACAUGAACCCCUGGUGGUCUCUGAGGGUUAAACCUGCUAACUGCUGCAGCUCUGUCAGCUUCAGUCUCCCAUGCAGAGCUCUGAGCGCAUGUGUGGCUCUGCACCCUUAGCAGCGUUGCUAACUCCUCAGUAAGGAAAGCCUGCUUCAUGUCAGAGUCUCUAAACUCCAGAAGAAGUCGAUAAAAGUCCCUUUCUUUCUAAAAAAAAGUCGUUAGGGGGUCUGAAAAGUCAUUGAAUCUAACAACAAAGUCGCUAGGUUUGCAACUACGUGUCCCAGACUGCAUCCCUGCUGAGAGUCCCUCCCUCCCUUCUCAUGUUGCAGGAAGAACGUAAGCGCCCGCCCCUUGUCAAUCAGUCACCAUAUAAUUUUGGAUUGGUUGUUGUGGUGAAGUUUUCCACCAAUAGGAGAGAUGUUGUGGUGUGUUUUUUUUUUCUUUUGGCAAGCCUUUUCCGCCUGUAAGACCUGUCGCUAAUGUCUGCAUGCUAUGUUUUCCUGUCUCAUACAGCGCGAUCGAGCGCCGAACGUGAUCAAAAUAAGCAGAAAAAAAGUAUCGCGGACAUAAUUUAUCAUAACUCUGGUUUUAUUUGGCCUAUCAACACAAUUUAAAAACUGGUAUAUAGGUUGAGGUCCUCACUUUUGAGAUAAGUUGAAACGGAGAGUCAACGAGGCUCCGUCUUGCAGCUACAUCCGGUUAAAUAUGUCAUGUGACUUGAACGCACACACAGACACACACACGCACACACACACACACACACACACACUCAGAGUCUGUUUUUUAGCACCUGCAAAAACAUGCUAUUUACAUAUUUGACAAGAAUGCAGAGGCUCCUUUUGCCCCUGAAAAAAAUCAAAUUUCAAACACAACUUGACUGGUCAUUUCUCCAAAAGACAACCAUGAAGCUCCAUCCAAACCUGAAGCAGGCAGUUGGUGCAUGUGUACAGUAACCUGAGGGGAGUGAGGUGAGUGCUUCUGAGGAGAACAUGAGCAGUGAAGAUUCACCUUGGAGCUAGAACAGAGACAUGCACAUGAUUAUACUGGGGCAGGGGCUCAAGUUUUUUCCAGUCGUUUAUACAAUAUGGAAAUUAAUGUGAAAUUAAAACACAAAGUAUUAAUAGAAAGGUAAUGACUGUCCUGUGUAGGUGACAGUGAUAUCCAAUAGGCUAGGCACUCACGAGGCUGGCUGUGGCAAGUGUAAGUGAAAGCAACACGCACUGGCAGGAAGAACAGCAAACGCCGAUGAAGGAAAAGGGUCUUUGCAGUGAUGGGCGUUACCAGAGAGGGCGAUGGCCAGAGGACACAAAUGGGACGGGGAGGCAGCGCGUUGGGGGGGGGACGCGACACAGCUCGGGCCCGCCAGUGCCCCAACGGGGUCCUAGUCUUUGUUUCUUUCUUUCUUUCUUUCUUUCUUUCUUUCUUCUUUUUCCUCCCCUUUGAACUGGAAAAUGGCCCACUUCCCACUGGCGAAAACUCAUGAAAUUUGGUAGGACGACCGGGCCUGGUGAAAAAUUCGAUAUUCUGAAGUCGCCCAAACAAUAAAAUGCAAAAUGGCUCCAUAGCGCCCCCUAAGGUGGAAAUUCACACUAUUGACUGUCAAGCCUGUACGCUUUGUCAUAUUGACACAAAAAUUGACACACAUAUGUAUCUCAAUAAGAUCUACAAAAAAGUCAGUGCGGCCGUAUCUGUCAAAAUUACGGUUAAAGGGUUAUUUCGCAUUUUUUGCCGAUCCGCACACAUUGGAAUUUCGCUAACUCCUCCAAAGGCUUUCGUUCCACCGGCACCACAUUUGCUCAGGCCAAUCUACACCCCGUGGCCAUUAAAAGUUAUCAAAAUCAUGACGCUGCACCCCAAGGUUUAGGUUCUAGGGGGCGCCAAAGAUAACACUAAAAUCCACAUAUUUAAAAGUCUUAUAACUUUUUAUUUUUGUCCUCACUGGCCUCCAAGUUUUCUAGGAUGAUGCAAUGUCCAGCCAUCAACACAUUUGUGAAGGAAUUUUUACUCCCCAAAAGAGCGCCCCCCAUGGCAGGAGAAAAAAGUCCAUUUUUUCUUGUCCCCUAAGGUGAAAAUACACAUUGUUGAGUGUCACGCCUAUACGCUUUGUCAAAAUGACACAAAAAUUGACACACACAUGUAACUCAAUAAGAUCUACAAAAAAGUCCAUGCGCGCGUAUCUGUCAAAUGUACAGUUAAAGGGUUAUUCCGCAUUUUUUGCCGAUACGCACACAUUGGAAUUUCGCUAACUCCUCCGAAGGCUUUCGUUCCACUGGCACCACAUUUGCUCAGGCCAAUCUACACCCCAUGGCCAUUAAAAGUUAUUCAAAUCAUGAUGCUGCACCCCAUGGUUUAGGUUCUAGGGGGCGCCAAAAAUAACCCAAAAAUCCACAUUCUUAAAUGUUUUAUAACUUUUUAUUUUUGUCCUCACUGGCCUCCAAGUUUUCUAGGAUGAUGCAAUGUCCAGCCAUCAACACAUUUGUGAAGGAAUUUUUACUCCCCAAAAGAGCGCCCCCCCAUGGUAGGAGAAAAAAGUCAAUUUUUUCUUGUCCCCGUACAUAAAAAUACACAUUGUUGAGUGUCACGCCUGAACGCUUUGUCAUAUUGACACAAAAAUUGACAAUCAUGUGUAUCUCAAUUAGAUCUACGAAAAAGUCAAGAGCGCGUAUCUGUAUAAUGUACGGUUAAAGGGCUAUUUUGCAUUUUUUGCCGAUUCGCACACAUUGGAAUGUGGCUAUCUCCUCCUAAGGCUUUCGUCCCACCGAUACCAAAUUUGCUCAGGGCAAUCUACACCCCAUGCCCAUUCAAAGUUGUAAAAAUCAUGACGCUGCACCCCACGGUUUACGUUCUAGGGGGCGCCAAAGAUGACCCAAAAAUCCACAUUCUUAAAAGUCAUUUUGGCCACUGCAGGAGUACAGAGUACUGCAGUUCUAGGGGGCGCCAAAGAUGACCCAAAAAUCCACAUUCUUAAAAGUCUUUUUGGCCACUGCAGGAGUACAGAGUACUGCAGGAUACACACACAUAUACACACACGCCAACAUACACACACACACACACACACACACACACACACACACAGACACACACCCACACUCAGAGUCUGUUUUUUAGCACCUGCAAAAACAUGCUGUUUACAUAUUCGACAAGAAUGCAGAGGCUUCCUUUUGCCCCUGAAAAAAAUCAAAUUUCAAACACAACUUGACUGUUCAUUUCUCCAAAAGACAACCAUGAAGCUCCAUUUCAAACCUGAAGCAGAUAGUUGGUGCAUGUGUACAGUAACCUGAGGGGAGUGAGGUGACUAUUUCUGAGGAGAACAUGAGCAGUGAAGAUUCACCUUGGAGCUAGAACAGGGACGUGCACAUGAUUAUACAGGGGCAGGGGCUCAAGUUUUUUCCAGUCAUUUAUACAAUAUGGAAAUUAAUGUGAAAUUAAACCACAAAUAUGUGUGAUGAACUGUUUUUAAAACUUAAACUUCAAAUAAAAAUUGUAAACUUCAAAACAUAUGCAAAUUUUUAACAAAGAACAUAGUGAUUUACCUCUAUUUACAUCAAAAUGCAGGCAAUGGCCCAGGCGUUCUUUGUAAAAUUAUUUACAAAACACUGUAUAGUCUCACAAAUGUCACUUUUUAUUUAUGCCACUACAAAAAAACAUGAUGUAAAUGAUGCAUGAUGUAAAACAUGAUGUAAAAAACUUGUGUAGAUCCUCCUCUAUGUCAGUCCAUGUGUAAUUUUUCCAUAAUUCUUUGUUUUUUGCAGCAUUUUUGUUAGUGUAACUGCAGAUUGUGCUGACAGUGUCUAUGGCACAAAAAAAAAAAAAAAAUUAAAAUGCCUCAACAUGAACCCCUGGUGGUCUCUGAGGGUGAAACCUGCUAACUGCUGCAGCUCUGUCAGCUUCAGUCUCCCAUGCAGAGCUCUGAGCGCAUGUGUGGCUCUGCACCCUUAGCAGCGUUGCUAACUCCUCAGUAAGGAAAGCCUGCUUCAUGUCAGAGUCUCUAAACUCCAGAAGAAGUCGAUAAAAGUCCCUUUCUUUCUAAAAAAAAGUCGUUAGGGGGUCUGAAAAGUCAUUGAAUCUAACAACAAAGUCGCUAGGUUUGCAACUACGUGUCCCAGACUGCAUCCCUGCUGAGAGUCCCUCCUUCGCUUCUCAUGUUGCAGGAAGAACGUAAGCGCCCGCCCCUUGUCAAUCAGUCACCAUAUAAUUUUGGAUUGGUUGUUGUGGUGAAGUUUUCCACCAAUAGGAGAGAUGUUGUGGUGUGUUUUUUUUUUCUUUUGGCAAGCCUUUUCCGCCUGUAAGACCUGUCGCUAAUGUCUGCAUGCUAUGUUUUCCUGUCUCAUACAGCGCGAUCGAGCGCCGAACGUGAUCAAAAUAAGCAGAAAAAAAGUAUCGCGGACAUAAUUUAUCAUAACUCUGGUUUUAUUUGGCCUAUCAACACAAUUUAAAAACUGGUAUAUAGGUUGAGGUCCUCACUUUUGAGAUAAGUUGAAACGGAGAGUCAACGAGGCUCCGUCUUGCAGCUACAUCCGGUUAAAUAUGUCAUGUGACUUGAACGCACACACAGACACACACACACGCACACACACACACACACACACACACACACACACACUCAGAGUCUGGUUUUUAGCACCUGCAAAAACAUGCUAUUUACAUAUUUGACAAGAAUGCAGAGGCUCCUUUUGCCCCUGAAAAAAUCAAAUUUCAAACACAACUUGACUGCUCAUUUCUCCAAAAGACAACCAUGAAGCUCCAUCCAAACCUGAAGCAGGCAGUUGGUGCAUGUGUACAGUAACCUGAGGGGAGUGAGGUGAGUGCUUCUGAGGAGAACAUGAGCAGUGAAGAUUCACCUUGGAGCUAGAACAGAGACAUGCACAUGAUUAUACAGGGGCAGGGGCUCAAGUUUUUUCCAGUCGUUUAUACAAUAUGGAAAUUAAUGUGAAAUUAAAACACAAAGUAUUAAUAGAAAGGUAAUGACUGUCCUGUGUAGGUGACAGUGAUAUCGAAUAGGCUAGGCACUCACGAGGCUGGCUGUGGCAAGUGUAAGUGAAAGCAACACGCACUGGCAGGAAGAACAGCAAACGCCGAUGAAGGAAAAGGGUCUUUGCAGUGAUGGGCGUUACCAGAGAGGGCGAUGGCCAGAGGACACAAAUGGGACAGGGAGGCAGCACGUUGGGGGGGGGGGGGGGGGGGGACGCGACACGGCUCGGGCCCGCCAGUGCCCCAACGGGGUCCUAGUUAGGGCCCGAGCCAGCUGCAGAGCAGCCGGGCGUAGGCCCUAUUAUUCCCCAAGUGGUUUUUCUUUGUUUCUUUCUUUCUUUUUUCUUUUUCCUCCCCUUUGAACUGGAAAAUGGCCCACUUCCCACUGGCGAAAACUCAUGAAAUUUGGCAGGACGACCGGGCCUGGUAAAAAAUUUGAUAUUCCGAAGUCGCCCAAACAAGAAAAUGCAAAAUGGCUCCAUAGCGCCCCCUAAGGUGAAAAUUCACACUAUUGACUGUCACGCCUGUACGCUUUGUCAAAAUGACACAAAAAUUGACACACACAUGUAUCUCAAUAAGAUCUACAAAAAAGUCAAUGCGCGCGUAUCUGUCCAAUUUACGGUUAAAGGGUUAUUUCGCAUUUUUUGCAGAUUCGCACACAUUGGAAUUUCGCUAAUUCCUCCGAAGGCUUUCGUUCCACCGGCACCACAUUUGCUCAGGCCAAUCUACACCCCAUGGCCAUUAAAAGUUAUUCAAAUCAUGACGCUGCACCCCACGGUUUAGGUUCUAGGGGGCGCCAAAUAUAACCCUAAAAUCCACAUAUUUAAAAGUCUUAUAACUUUUUAUUUUUGUCCUCACUGGCCUCCAUGUUUUCUAG